UGUUGUUUUGUUUGUUUGUUUUUGCUUGCCUCUUGAAUGGGAUGCAAUUCAAAACAAGAUAGAGGCCCGCAUCGCCAAGUCAAUCCUAAGCCAAAAGAACAAAGCUGGAGGCAUCACACUACCUGACUUCAAAUUAUACUACAAGGCUACAGUAACCAAAACAGCAUGGUACUGGUACCAAAACAGAGAUAUAGAUCAAUGGAACAGAACAGAGCCCUC
Molecule: long non-coding RNA, 219 nt
Filed under: Homo sapiens (human)
Lineage: Eukaryota; Metazoa; Chordata; Mammalia; Primates; Hominidae
Description: non-protein coding lnc-HUWE1-2:1
Source: RNAcentral